UGGCACUGCAGCUUCAGCACAAUCUUCUUGGUGGUUUUUGCCUAAAAAACGUCACAACUUUAGCAUUGCACAGGUGCUUUUAAUCUUUAUCAGACAAUACACUAGACAGGAUUAGGCACACCAUAAGUACAUGGCAAUGAAUUGGUAGACAAAUCAGACAAACUGUAGUGAAGCACAUAGAUCAUGUUUGCAGGUCAAUAGGCAAUCACAAGAACCAAUGCUGCAAUACCUUCUUGUGGAAGACAGGCUUGGUCUGACCACCAUAUCCCGACUGCUUCCUGUCAUAACGACGUUUUCCCUGGGCAGAC
RNAcentral lists this long non-coding RNA (308 nucleotides) under Hordeum vulgare. RNAcentral's name for it is "long non-coding RNA (HVUL_LNC003707)". The record is from RNAcentral. Lineage: Eukaryota; Viridiplantae; Streptophyta; Magnoliopsida; Poales; Poaceae.